GAAAUUUUGUUUUAGUUUGAAUUCUAGGAGGUCAGUACAGUAGUUUAAGGAACAAACAUAGAGGCAACUAGUCCAAAAACUACAGGAAGAUAUGGUUCUGACGUGAUAUGGAACUAGUUCAAAAACUGCAUCAAGUCAACAAAAUAUGGUUUCAUUAUUAAGUGAUUUGACGUGUAUGCAACUAAUUCAAGUACUUGAGUAAUAAAGAAAUCGAAAUUCAAUUAUCAUUCCAUUUUGAAGCCGAAAGCGUCCUUUUGGCUAUAUCUUCUCGUAGGCUCGGCGGAUUGCCGAACCAACUUCGCCAACGUGUUCGCUUUACCUUCAAUUACGUUUGCACGCGAGCAAUUUCAAGUUAGGGUCUCAAUCCUGCAAAAGUGCAUUAUCGAGCUUAGUGAAUACACUUUACUAGUUUCAACUUCCAACUAGUUUCAACUUCGAACUUCAUAUUAACUAGUUUCAACUUCCAACUGCCGAUUGCCAACUAGCUUCAACUUUCAACUAGUUUCAACUAUUUAUGAUAACAUAGUUUCA
This 531-nucleotide long non-coding RNA is filed under the name Ananas comosus (pineapple). RNAcentral describes it as "long non-coding RNA (ACOM_LNC016523)". The record is from RNAcentral. Lineage: Eukaryota; Viridiplantae; Streptophyta; Magnoliopsida; Poales; Bromeliaceae.